GGCGGCGUGGCUCAGUGGUAGAGCAGCGGUCUCAUAAUCCGCUUGUCGUGGGUUCGAUUCCCUCCGCCGCUA
RNAcentral lists this transfer RNA (72 nucleotides) under Planctomycetota bacterium. RNAcentral's name for it is "Planctomycetes bacterium tRNA-Met". It matches the Rfam family "tRNA". Rfam says of the family: Transfer RNA (tRNA) molecules are approximately 80 nucleotides in length. Lineage: Bacteria; Pseudomonadati; Planctomycetota. The record is from RNAcentral.